This 129-nucleotide small nuclear RNA is filed under the name Diaphorina citri (Asian citrus psyllid). RNAcentral's name for it is "U2 spliceosomal RNA". It matches the Rfam family "U2 spliceosomal RNA". Rfam says of the family: U2 is a small nuclear RNA (snRNA) component of the spliceosome (involved in pre-mRNA splicing). Complementary binding between U2 snRNA (in an area lying towards the 5' end but 3' to hairpin I) and the branchpoint sequence (BPS) of the intron results the bulging out of an unpaired adenosine, on the BPS, which initiates a nucleophilic attack at the intronic 5' splice site, thus starting the first of two transesterification reactions that mediate splicing. The record is from Rfam by way of RNAcentral. Lineage: Eukaryota; Metazoa; Arthropoda; Insecta; Hemiptera; Psyllidae.
AUCUCUUCUAAGCCUUUUGGCUAAGAUCAAAAUGUAGUAUCUGUGCUUAUAACUCUCUCUUGCAGCACCCUGUUUAUUAAUUUAUAGGUAAAAAGUAAUUAAAACUAGAGAGCGAUGAUCGGAAUCUUU